AUUGCUAUAUACCUCCUUCAGAUGCCUUUCUUUUCCUUUACUUUUAUGGAACUAGGGGUCAAAUCCUGAGUUAUUUGUUGCUUUAGAGAUGGAAUAUAUAUCUAAAUUCCCAUACUGAUGCUUACUAUUAGAGAAAAGUAAUGCAGCCAUUCUACAUUAAAAAGUAGAAAUGACUGACUAUGGUGAUGGCAUAUGCCUCUAAUCAGAGCACCUGGCAUGCAGAAGCCAGGGGUCAUGAGCUUAAGGCCAAUCUGGGCUUCACUGUGAGAAUGCCUCAAUAACUAAAAAAACAUUGAAGUUUGGUGAGGCUCUCUGUACAUUUCAUCUCUGAGCUGUAGGAUUUGGAACAAGUUGUUUGACCUAAGUUUAAAACAAAAAAUGGCAGCCAUUUCAUAGUUGUUGAGCUAACAUAUAGGAGAGCCAAACUAAAAAUCUGCUUUAUGCAGCAGAUCCUUCUGUUUGGGGGAGAAUGAGAAAUGGAUUCUUGGAUAGAACUCUUCAUCUUCACGUUUGAUGAAGAAGAAAGUAAAACAAUCACCUCUUCCUGGCUUCCUCUGAAUAAGAAAAUGACUCAUUUUGUUUGAAGUCUGGAUUGAGGCAGGAAGACAAGACUAAUCAUAUACAUGUAAUGUAUAUAAAUAGAUAAUUCCCCAAAUGAGUAAGUAAACUAUUAUCAAACUAUUACAGCUGGUUUUUAAAAAGACCUUAAUAGUUUUGAUAUUAUCCAGUCAGUUUCCAAUAAGGUCACUGUCUUAGGGUUUCCAUUGCUCAGAAGAGACACCAUGACCAAAGCAACUCUUAUAAAGGCCAUUUAAUUGGGGCUGUCUUAUUGUUUCUGAGUUUCUGUUCAUUAUCAUCAUGGCAGGAAGCAUGAUAGCAGCCAGGCAGGCAUGGUGCUAGAGAAGUUGAGAGUUCUAUGUCUUCAUCCAAAAGAAGCUGGGAGCAGACUGUCUUCCAGACAGCUAGGAGGAGGGUCUCAAAGUCCACCUCCCACAGUGCUACACUUUCUUCAAUAAGGCCACACCUCCUAAUAGUGCCUCUCACUGGGGCAAGCAUAUUCAAACCACCACAAUCAUUAAUGUAACAUUUUAUUUUUAUCACCUCUCCAGGCCAGACAUAGAGUAUGAAAGGUAAUAUUUUUAUAGAAUUUGACAUUUUGUAGAUCCACUUACCCACAAACGUCUUCAUUACUCUAAUGGAGAGAACACAGCUCUUCAAGGACUCACUUGCUCCAGUGCCUGACUAUGCACCCUAGAGCACCUGCUUUCCUGGCUGGUGGAGAUGAGCUAGAAGAUGGAAUGAUGCUGAGAUGGCCUGUGGUCCUGGCCUCCUAGGUGCUGACAGGGCUUCCAGUCACUUUCUUGUAACAUCAACCUCACUUCUUCCACAAGGGUAGUGCUACUGAUUAGAGCACAAGAAGGCCCAAUAUGCCUUGUUGACUUAGAUAUUGUUUUGACUUUUUGUGAAAGAACUUUGGCUAUGUUUCAAGGACUUGCUUUCUCCCCUACUUUUCUUCUCUCCUCCUUCCUCCUCUGUUCCUUUAACCUAAUUCACUUCCUCACAUCCCUGAGCCAUGGCUGCUUCCUAGAACUGUGAAAUCCUAUCAGGGAUGCAGUAAGGAGUGUGAUGUGUGUAAGGUGACAUUAAACACAUAUGCACAGUUGCAAUUCUGUUUGUGUGUCACUGUGAUUCAGUGUAUCAAAUUAGAAGGUGCUUUCUGGAUCCGUGACACUAAGUAGUUCUUCGGGAUGAACUGAGUAUUAGUCAGGCCUUCUUUGAGUGUCCAGGACGUUCUGGGGGACAGCAUCUUCAUAUGAGGGGGCACACAUUGGUCCAUAGAAGCAUAAGGGAUACACUCAGUAAUUCUUAGGCAAGAGACUCAAUGGAGCACCAUUCAGAUAGUCAAUCUAGAAAAAAAUUUCUAUCAUUUUUUGAGCCCAUUUUAGCCUCUGUUUCCCUGCCAAAUGUGUCAUGCAAGUAUAUAGUCUGGGUUUUUUUUUUUUUUUCAAUUUUCACCUCAUUUCUUAACAGAUAUUUAAAUAGUUGAAUCCUUUUGUUUCUGUUUCUACAGAUAUCUUAGUAUUCUUAUACCGUGAGCAUCUAUAAAUGUUCUUAUGUGAACAUACUAAAUGUUUGUUGAAUAAAUAUCAGUUUCUCUUAUCAUUAGGAAAGAGAAUAAUAUAAGACUCUCUAGGCCUUGCAGGAACCCUGAGACAGACUCAUCACCUCCGGUUUCAGAUCAACAAGUAUCAGGAUCUACAGUAUUAAAUUUUGAUGGCUCUGUUUCCUAAGUCCCAGCCAUAUUCCAGGAGCUAUAUGUACCUUAAUUAUGUAUGUCUCAGAAUAUCCUAGUUGUAGUUGGUAUAUUUAUUAUUCUAGCCAUUUAGACAUGAACAAAUUGAGAAAGCCAUAAAUAGCCUGACCAAGGCCACAUGAUAGGUGAAUGUUAAACUGGAGAUUCAGGUCCAAGAUGGCCAAUGGUUGAAAGCACUUUCCGCUAAGCCUGACAACCCUUAUCUUAUCUCCUUCUAAACAGUGGAAGCAGAUUUCUGAAAAUCACUCUCUGACUUCUACACAUGUACCAUGGCACACUUACACAUACACAGACAGACAGACACACAUAUAAUAAAUUAAUAAAUAAAUAAAUAAAUAAGAAUACAUAAAUCCACAAAUAAGUAUUAAAAAUAAACUGAGAUUCAAUCUAGAUAGAGUACUUAACCACAUCAGCUGAUCAAGACACAGGGUUCUAAGGGAUAUGUAAUAGGGAUUUCAGAGCUAAAGCAAAUGAAACAGUUGCUCAUACUAGACCCAUUUUAAAGACUCAAGGUCUCCCAUGACAGAAGGUUGUGUUGGGUUUGAGUUUGACUCUUGUGAGGAGACUUCUAAGCCUACCCCUUUCUAGUAUUAUUAUGUUCCUGGUCAUUGUAUUUUUAUUUUAAAAGCACAAACUUGAUCAUGGUUUUCCAGCUUAGAAUGAUAGGUAUUUGCAUGCUAAAAGACCCAAUGAAUUCACUUCAACAGGAACAUGGGUUCAUAUAUCUACUAUGAUUAUUUAAACCCAGCUCUACUGAUGGAUAGUUGGAAUAUCAAACGAAAGAGGGUAUUUGGUAUAUUCCCUAUGAUAUCACAGAUCUGGACACAUGCAGAGAACCACUGCCAUUAUCGCAGUGAUGAACAUGUCUCUGACCUUGAGAAGUUCUCUGUACCCUGUGACAUUUUAAAAUAAGGUUUAGAGAGCUACUGUCCAGCAUAUCUUUCUGUUAAUACCACCGCAGCAUGUACUUCAGGGGUUGUAAGCGAAGUACUGAGAUCCAUGCUAUGAUGUUGCUUAGCUUCACCUGGUUUGUCAAUCCUUGGAGUGUCAUCCUGGACACUUCUUUUUUUCUUAAACUUUGGUUUCUUUCAAAAACCAGUUCCUCUUUGUUUAUAAGUCACCGCAAACUUGUAGUGUAGAUUGGUACAGUCCAGUCACCUCCUGAAUGACAGCUUUCUCAUGUGCACCCUCCCUCAACUUCUCCUUCCUUCCCUAUGUGUUCAGAACACAUAGGACUGGAAUGUGUGUUGUCAGCAUUCAAUGUCCACAGGUGCCCUCAGCUGCCUCCUCUGCCAAUAUUCUUCCCGGGCUGGUGCUUUCAGUGUUGUUUCCUCCAUCUCAUCCCCUCAAAUCCCCUUAGUCAUUCUCAUCUCUCUACAGCACAGUGCUGGUAAAACUGCCUCGGGAUUUGAGACAAUAGAAAUUGAUGUAGACUGGUGUUGUCAUGGCUACCUUCACAGAGAUGGUAUUAAUUGAGCUGAGUGUUUGAAGACUGUGAAUGAUUUAGGUGAAUAUCAGGGAUGUUGGAGGUUUGACUUUGCUUAUUUAGACUUUGAAAAGAGAUUAUAGUCUAGGAACUAAGACAUAUUAAGCUAAGUUUAUUUAAUUGAAUGACCUUAACUGCAAACAGUUCAGCCACUGGCAGGCUUUACCAAUUUUUCAAGUCGCUAUAUUUGAAGGUAGUUUUUCAUAGACACAAGGUGACUCAGGUGUUUAAUUGCAGUGAAGGUAGACUUUGUGAAGAACAUAUUUGUAUAAGAUGUAGAAGGUGAAUUACUUUUGGCUAGUACUUGCUCAAUUUCUUUGAGUCUCAAAGAAACAGUAGAAAUAGCUAACACGUGUUAUGAGGAUAACAAAAGUAAAGGUUGAAUUAAUUGCCAGCUAGCAACCUUGUGCAUGAUAGAUAUUAUUAGUCUUACCUAAAGAGAUAGUAUUCUAGUCCCUCUAAGAAGCCUCUGCUUCUCUACGUCUGCUGAAGGAUGUCCCUCUAACAGGAUGGACAAAUAAGCGUCAUACUCUGGCUGGAAGUUGUUAUUUUUAGACUCUUCCCAUCCCUUCCCUCCGUAGCAGCACAGUAUUUGGCUGAACUGGCAUUUGUGUAGGUGCCCUUCUGCAUGCCUCAGCACUUUAACUUUUUAAAAGAUACCUUUCCACAGAGAGUGGAAUGUUAGAAAUCUGAACAUUCACAGUAGAUACAGUUUUGAGAUGUUACUUCAAAUGAUUUAACUAAGACAAAAAUCCCUCACUGGUAUCCCCAGCCAAUUGGGUUUUAGUUAAUUCCAGACAAAUGUCAAGUUGACAAACAAGAAUAGCCAUCACAGAUCGAUAGACAAAUACGUACAUAGAGAGAUAGGCAGGCAGAUAGGUAGGUAUGUAGAUACAU
Molecule: long non-coding RNA, 4697 nt
Filed under: Mus musculus (house mouse)
Lineage: Eukaryota; Metazoa; Chordata; Mammalia; Rodentia; Muridae
Description: long non-coding RNA chr4:102304363-102309060
Source: RNAcentral